CUGGUAAGUUCUUAUGUUUUUUGUAGUUCAGGUUCUUUUUUCAUGUCCUUGGAAUAUUUUCUGAACAAUUUGGAGAAUUUAAUUCACAAGGGUAUCAGUUGUUAUUGUUAUGUAAAUUUGAUGUGUAUCAAUUGUGCCUGCUGGAAAAUCUUAGACACAAGAAACGCCAAAUCUUUAUGUGAAUUUUGCUUUCUUUCAGGA
RNAcentral lists this long non-coding RNA (201 nucleotides) under Capsicum annuum. RNAcentral describes it as "long non-coding RNA (CANN_LNC007192)". The record is from RNAcentral. Lineage: Eukaryota; Viridiplantae; Streptophyta; Magnoliopsida; Solanales; Solanaceae.